Potamilus streckersoni is the source of this 75-nucleotide non-coding RNA. Lineage: Eukaryota; Metazoa; Mollusca; Bivalvia; Unionida; Unionidae. The record is from the annotation of a GenBank genome assembly.
GUUCCAGUGGCCUAGUGGUUAGAGCUUCCGCAUCGGAUGCGGGAGGUCGUGGGUUCGAUCCCAUGCCUAGUCACA